GACGGAAGGUGCAAGCGUUGCUCGGAAUCACUGGGCGUAAAGGGUGCGUAGGCGGCUGUGCAAGUCUGGCGUGAAAGCCCCGGGCUCAGCCCGGGAAGUGCGCUCGAAACUGCACGGCUCGAGCGCCGGAGGGGAGAGUGGAAUUCCUGGUGUAGCGGUGAAAUGCGUAGAUAUCAGGAGGAAUACCGGUGGCGAAAGCGACUCUCUGGACGGCAACUGACGCUGAGGCACGAAAGCGUGGGGAGCAAACGGG
Molecule: ribosomal RNA, 253 nt
Filed under: uncultured bacterium
Lineage: Bacteria
Description: partial 16S ribosomal RNA
Rfam family: Bacterial small subunit ribosomal RNA
Source: RNAcentral